RNAcentral lists this long non-coding RNA (2276 nucleotides) under Pongo abelii (Sumatran orangutan). RNAcentral describes it as "lincRNA". The record is from RNAcentral. Lineage: Eukaryota; Metazoa; Chordata; Mammalia; Primates; Hominidae.
AAUGAGUGAUGGUUUGUAGUGUGCUGUCAGAUUCUCCAGUGUUCUACUCACUACAUUGGAUUUUCUUUCAAUGCUUUUGGAUUGAAACUAAAAAUCCUGAUGAGUUAAAUAGUACCCUAGUUAAGCAGUAAUGCAAGCUGAAGAAAAUUCUUCCACUGUUAGGCUGGGCGUGGUGGCUCACACCCACCAGCACUCACACCAGCAUUUUGGGAGGCCAAGGCGGGUGGAUCACCUGAGGUUAGGAGUUCGAGACCAGCUUGGCCAACGUGGUGAAACCCCGUCUCUACUGAAAAUACAAAAAUUAGCCAGGCAUGAUGGCAGGUGCCUGUAAUCCCAGCUACUCGGGGGGCUGAGGCGGGAGAAUCGCUUGAACCCAGGAGGCGGAGGUUGCAGUGAGCAGAGAUGGUGCCAUUGCACACCAGCCUGGGAGACAGAACGAAACUCCAUCUCAAAACAACAACAACAAAGAAAAUUCUUCCACCGUGUAGAAAAUGCAUCAACAUUAUUCUAAGACUUUCUUCAGGAAAUCCCAGGCAUUUAAAGUCAGCCCUUUAAUACUAUGCUUCUUAUUAAAACCAGAGACUAAUGUAUAACCAAAACUGAAAGCUCCAUAGGUUACAUUGUGUUAACAUAAAUGAGAUAAAAUUACUGUGAUAGAAAUAUGCUUUAGUUUCUCUCUACAAUUACAAAAACGGAAGUUGAAUGAGGAAUUUAAAAGAUAACAAUACACUUUUAUCUUGUAACUUAGUGUUAAUCUCAGUGAAAUAUACUUUUCAGGAUAACAUUUUCAAAUGGAGCAAGUAUCGUUACAGAUUGAUGGCAUAGCCUUUAUUUGCCUUGUUAACAUUAAGGUAGGAAGACUUCUGACACAAAAAUGUCAGACUAACAGUAGUGACUCAGAAGCAGAAAUUCAAAAAACGCACUUGCUGUAAAUUUUGCUACACUGCCCAGGGCACUUCUUUGUCUGUAUGUGUAACAUGUAUUCAGCUAUUGUAAAGUUUCUUUAACAGUCCUGGAAGUACUAUGACAGUAACAAGGAAGAUUGAUAGCAGAUUCCAUGCCUCUUUGUUAAUCACAUUAAGAACUCUGCUUGGUACUCUUUGAUGUUGUGUCUGGAAAUAUAUAUCCCCACCACACCAUAUUGAAAGCUUUCAUCCUAUUACCCAUCUGCUGCCAGAACAGUUUAAAUGCAAAAUGAUCAGUUUAAAUGCAAAAAAUGGGUGAUGGGGUGUGAAAGUCAAAGAUUUGCCAAGCAUACCGUUUUUCUACUACUCGUUCUUCUAAUUACCUUUUGGGAAAUGAGAGAACCUAACCAUACAACAUUUUGAAAUGUUUCCUUAGGGAAUCUGAAUAAUAUUUUAUGUAGCUUGAGUUAUAUGAUAAUGACAAGCAUGUCUUCAAACAUUAAAAUUAAACCCAUGGAUGUGGCAUAGUGCCUGUUGUUUUUCAUCAUAGGAGUUUAUGAUAAAACUGAGCACUGGAGUCUGCAGUUUAUAAAAAGAUGUUUCCUUCUAUUUAGCUGGAGGAGUUUCUUAGACUAGUGGAUUGGUUCCCAGGUCCUACAGUCAGAUAAAUAAAAAGUUGCAGCAGGGGGACCAACUAGUAGUGAGUACAUUUCAUCAGUUGGAGAGAGAAAAUUUAUUUCUUCAAUUACUUUAGAACAUCUGCAUGUUACAAAGAGGAAUGUGCAUUAACACAAUUAACCAUUUCUUUUUUUAAUUGAAUUCAUGGAUUCAUUCCUAAGUUUUCUAAUCAGUUUUGCUCUGGUGUCAUAAGUUAAGGGAGAAUCAAUACCAAACUUAUUUUCCUGCAUGAAGAGAUUGCUUGGAUAAUAGAUUUUUUCCAAUGCUUUUGGAAAUAUUGAGUCUAAUAAAAUAACUCUAACAGAGAUACAAUUAUUCAUAUCAGUAAGUUGUUCAUCAGAAAUAUUUCACAAACACUAGACCUGAAUCUAUAUUGGAGGCAAAAUCAUUCAAUUCAGUAGAGCAGUUGCAAUUUUCUCAUAUAGUAAAAUGACCAGUUGCACCUAGUAAAGAGUACAGCACAACCCCUAAGUGCAGGGGAUCUGGAGGCAAAACAUGUGGGUCAAAGGCUCACUGUAUCAAUUUCCAGCUGUGCAAUCUUGGGAAAGGUUCUUCAUUUGUAAAAUGAUGCUUAAAAGCUGUACCUGACUUUUAGGAUUGUUGUAAACAUUAAAUUUAUAAAUGAGAAUGAUCUUAUAACUGUACAUGUUAACCAUUGUUUAAACCUUUAUGAAUAAAAUUCUAGAUGAGUCA